Molecule: non-coding RNA, 46 nt
Organism: Zootermopsis nevadensis
Lineage: Eukaryota; Metazoa; Arthropoda; Insecta; Blattodea; Termopsidae
Source: Rfam
AAAACGGCCCUUUUCAGGGCCCCAUAUGAAUCAUUGGUGGUAUUGU